Long non-coding RNA from Macrobrachium nipponense, 679 nucleotides. RefSeq lists it as uncharacterized. The record is from RefSeq and is a predicted model, not a curated record. NCBI's taxonomy places the organism in Eukaryota, Metazoa, Arthropoda, Malacostraca, Decapoda, Palaemonidae. The transcript is spliced from 4 exons.
CUCGGACGGAUGUCCCAGCCAGCCUUCCAUUAGGCCUACCAAGGCGCUACUGGCACGCUCAGACCUGAGACAAAGCCGAUGCCGCAUUCUACAAAGGUCCUCUUACUUACGGCAUCCAGGAAUGCCGCCGGAAGGGGGAUAAGCUGACCCCCAACACCCAAGCUUCACACACGCAUUCGGCCUCAUUCCUGAGACAUAGCCGACGCCGCAUUCUACAAAGGUCUACUUACUUACGGCAUCCAGAUCGGCCGAGUCACAUGUUCAAGUCUCUUCGUAAGUGCUGCCUUAAUGCAAGAUAAUAUGAAUAAUUUUGAAAGCCAGCAUCUACGUUAAUCUUAUUUUAGCCAGCUCCCCCCUUGUGAGAGAUAAGUUCCCCCGUGCGGACAAGCUGCAUUUACUCUUUCUCCAGGCCAUUCAACGGCCUCGUGUAAAUAAAUGUAAUGUAGAUUAAUCAGCUGGUUUUUCAAUGGCGACCUCCUCUACAGUAAAUUAACACAAUAAAUCCUUUUAGGGACUGUUGAUGACCAACACCAGGUAAUUUGUUACUGGAAUGUUCGAUAUCUCUUUUUAUGAUGACAAAGAUGGCAAAUAUACAAAUAAAUUUCAUAUUAACCACUGCUAUAACACAGCUUAUAGUGAUGUAACUUGUAUCAGACUUAACAUUACCAACAAUAAAUCA